This 513-nucleotide ribosomal RNA is filed under the name uncultured bacterium. Its description in RNAcentral is "partial 16S ribosomal RNA". It matches the Rfam family "Bacterial small subunit ribosomal RNA", at positions 28 to 507 of the family's 1533-position model. The record is from RNAcentral.
GACGAACGCUGGCGGCGUGCUUAACACAUGCAAGUCGAACGAGAGCGUAGAGAAAGCUUGCUUUUUCUACAAUCUAGUGGCAAACGGGUGAGUAACGCGUAAACAACCUGCCCUACGGAUGGGGACAACAGCUGGAAACGGCUGCUAAUACCGAAUACGUUCCGAAAGUCGCAUGACUAUCGGAAGAAAGGAUGGCCUCUAUUUAUAAGCUAUCGCCGGAGGAGGGGUUUGCGUCUGAUUAGCUAGUUGGAGGGGUAACGGCCCACCAAGGCGACGAUCAGUAGCCGGUCUGAGAGGAUGAACGGCCACAUUGGAACUGAGACACGGUCCAGACUCCUACGGGAGGCAGCAGUGGGGAAUCUUCCGAAAUGGGCGAAAGCCUGACGGAGCAACGCCGCGUGAGUGAAGACGGCCUUCGGGUUGUAAAGCUCUGUUAUACGGGACGAAUAAUCUUGUGGUUAAUACCCAUGAGAAGUGACGGUACCGUAAGAGAAAGCCACGGCUAACUACGUG